RNAcentral lists this ribosomal RNA (17 nucleotides) under Opuntia cochenillifera. Its description in RNAcentral is "Nopalea cochenillifera partial 26S ribosomal RNA". Lineage: Eukaryota; Viridiplantae; Streptophyta; Magnoliopsida; Caryophyllales; Cactaceae. The record is from RNAcentral.
GCACCCCAGUCAGGCGG